UACGUAGGUGGCGAGCGUUGUCCGGAUUUACUGGGCGUAAAGGGAGCGUAGGCGGACUUUUAAGUGAGAUGUGAAAUACCCGGGCUCAACUUGGGUGCUGCAUUUCAAACUGGAAGUCUAGAGUGCAGGAGAGGAGAAUGGAAUUCCUAGUGUAGCGGUGAAAUGCGUAGAGAUUAGGAAGAACACCAGUGGCGAAGGCGAUUCUCUGGACUGUAACUGACGCUGAGGAUCGAAAGCGUGGGGAGCAAACAGGAUUAGAUACCCU
This 265-nucleotide ribosomal RNA is filed under the name uncultured prokaryote. Its description in RNAcentral is "partial 16S ribosomal RNA". It matches the Rfam family "Bacterial small subunit ribosomal RNA", at positions 524 to 788 of the family's 1533-position model. The record is from RNAcentral.